ACGCUGCUUCCAACCCCGAUCUACCCUACUCACGCUGCUUCCAACCCCGAUCUUCUCUCCGCGUGGAGCUGGUGGCAGACGUACAACCGAGGGGACGAAGCAACGGCAUCGUGCCACCGCCACCUCCAAUGCAUAGCAGCCACGCCACCAACGGCACAAGAUUCGCAUGGGGAGGCCAGCCGUCGAGCAAGAGACAUCGAGGACCGGCUAGAUUAGAGGUGAGGUGGAUUCUGCGUGCGAGGCCCUCUACCCUUUCUCAUGUUCUGCGUGAUCUCGGGCGGGAGGCGGUGUAUCCAUCCUGAUUUGGCCUUCUUCCUCCCCGAUUUUGCGUUCUUUCCGGCCUACGCUCAUCUCCGGCCGGUCAUCAUUCCAUUCCCGUGACUCGUGCACUAAUGGGAGACCCCGGCCUCGCCUCUUCUGAACGUCCCAGUUCUUCUCCAUGAAGACCAUGCCCUUCAUGGUCCGGCGGGGCGGUCACUGUUGUCAACGUCUCCGUGCCCUUCCCGCACGAGGAAAAUAGCAGAUGGCGUCGUCGCCAACUCUAGCAUGUCGGAGAUGACGUGGCCACCAGAUGACGAGCUCCGCCAUGGUUUAUGGCGAGGAGAGGAGAAGUGGUCGUUCGGGUUCUGUGAGAAUGCACGUGCAGGUUCACUCGGAAAUUCCGGAUUUCGAUCUUCAUAUUUACAUCCGAGAGGAAAGGAAGUGUUGCACAGUCAUAUUUUAUUCCAGUGUUAAUAUUCCAUAAUUGUAUGAUGAAUUGAACCUGAACAUCGGAAGUGGCAAUUGCAAUACACUAAUUUCCAGUUUUGAUUGAUACUUUAUGAAAGAAUAUGUUGGCGGACAUGGCAAUGCAGUUUCAUGUCGACAUCCACUCGAACUGAAGUAUCCGCGGAAGUGAGAACAUAGUAACUGUCUGGACCUCUCGAUGUAGUUAGUGGCAUCAGUUAUAUAAUUACGUUUCAUAUAUCAACUAAUUAAAUGUUGCACUAUUCAUCUAAAAAAAGUAGCACUACUGAUCUACUGUAUGUAAGUAUUGCAGAUUCAUGUACAAUGUUGUCUGAUAAAUUGGUGGCAAAUAGCUGUGUGAGCUUCAUUUGGUGAUCUAUUUUUUUAUAUCCUUCUUUCAUCUGGUAUAACUACAUGGGACUGUAAUUGUUUACUGCAUUUUGCAUCACAUACUUUAUUACUGUACAUAUUACUUGUAUUUUUGUUUUUCCUUAUUGCUUCUAUGCUACUGAUUUCGCCACAGCAAAUUUUAUUUUGUUCUCUGGUGCAAAACAUCACACAAUGUCAUGUUAGAAGGACCCUUGAUUUCAUCAUACCCAGAUGGUUUAGUUUCUAAUGAUGGUUGGGGAAGUAGCCUCUGACCAAGCUAUACUAUGAUGACGAGUAGAGUCAAGAUUUUUGUUGUUGCAAGGAUCACAAAGAAAGAAAUCAGUAUUCAAUAGACAGUAGAUUGAUCUUUUGUAACAUCUUUCUUAUAAAUCAGUUUGGUUCACAAUCAGUUGCUCUAUCCAGGUUCUUUGGAAUGCAUGAUGAGACAUGGAUUCCUAAGGAUUGUUCAAGUGCAUUCAAUGUUAAGGGAUGGAACACGGAAUAGCCUUGGCCACAAUGAGCAGUCCCAAACUUCACACAAGUAUGUUCUCUUGUCCACAGAAGGAGUACAAUAUGGAGUACAAUAUGGGUGACUGCAGGCUGAGGAGAACACACAUGCACGGCCAGCUGCAUGGACCGAUGGAACCAAUUAAUAACAGGAGAAAGGGCGGAAAAUAGGAGGGAGAUGAUGAUAUUGACAAUGGGCAGUAGUCUGCAAUUGUGUCACGCUGUGUUGGUCGGAUUAGGCCCACCUAAUCAAUUGUUUUGGGGCACCACUAGAAAAUUAAUGAAUGCAUGCUGUACAAUUUUCGCUGAUCUUCUCUGAUUUUCUAACAGAUGUGAAAUGUUGCCCAACUAUUAUUUGAGAUGUAAAUUAAUAUUCAGUCGUAGAAAUUGAUAU
Triticum aestivum (bread wheat) is the source of this 1996-nucleotide long non-coding RNA. RefSeq lists it as uncharacterized. NCBI's taxonomy places the organism in Eukaryota, Viridiplantae, Streptophyta, Magnoliopsida, Poales, Poaceae. The transcript is spliced from 4 exons. The record is from RefSeq and is a predicted model, not a curated record.